GAAGUGCGAAUGCUGACAUAAGUAACGAUAAAGCGGGUGAAAAGCCCGCUCGCCGGAAGACCAAGGGUUCCUGUCCAACGUUAAUCGGGGCAGGGUGAGUCGACCCCUAAGGCGAGGCCGAAAGGCGUAGUCGAUGGGAAACGGGUUAAUAUUCCCGUACUUGGUGUUACUGCGAAGGGGGGACGGAGAAGGCUAUGUUGGCCGGGCGACGGUUGUCCCGGUUUAAGCGUGUAGGUGUGUGUUCCAGGUAAAUCCGGUUCACUUUAACACUGAGGCGUGAUGACGAGGCACUACGGUGCUGAAGCAACAAAUGCCCUGCUUCCAGGAAAAGCCUCUAAGCAUCAGGUAACACGAAAUCGUACCCCAAACCGACACAGGUGGUCAGGUAGAGAAUACCAAGGCGCUUGAGAGAACUCGGGUGAAGGAACUAGGCAAAAUGGUGCCGUAACUUCGGGAGAAGGCACGCUGACACGUAGGUGAAGUGAUUUACUCAUGGAGCUGAAGUCAGUCGAAGAUACCAGCUGGCUGCAACUGUUUAUUAAAAACACAGCACUGUGCAAACACGAAAGUGGACGUAUACGGUGUGACGCCUGCCCGGUGCCGGAAGGUUAAUUGAUGGGGUCAGCGCAAGCGAAGCUCCUGAUCGAAGCCCCGGUAAACGGCGGCCGUAACUAUAACGGUCCUAAGGUAGCGAAAUUCCUUGUCGGGUAAGUUCCGACCUGCACGAAUGGCGUAAUGAUGGCCAGGCUGUCUCCACCCGAGACUCAGUGAAAUUGAACUCGCUGUGAAGAUGCAGUGUACCCGCGGCAAGACGGAAAGACCCCGUGAACCUUUACUAUAGCUUGACACUGAACAUUGAGCCUUGAUGUGUAGGAUAGGUGGGAGGCUUUGAAGUGUGGACGCCAGUCUGCAUGGAGCCGACCUUGAAAUACCACCCUUUAAUGUUUGAUGUUCUAACGUGGACCCGUAAUCCGGGUUGCGGACAGUGUCUGGUGGGUAGUUUGACUGGGGCGGUCUCCUCCUAAAGAGUAACGGAGGAGCACGAAGGUUGGCUAAUCCUGGUCGGACAUCAGGAGGUUAGUGCAAUGGCAUAAGCCAGCUUGACUGCGAGCGUGACGGCGCGAGCAGGUGCGAAAGCAGGUCAUAGUGAUCCGGUGGUUCUGAAUGGAAGGGCCAUCGCUCAACGGAUAAAAGGUACUCCGGGGAUAACAGGCUGAUACCGCCCAAGAGUUCAUAUCGACGGCGGUGUUUGGCACCUCGAUGUCGGCUCAUCACAUCCUGGGGCUGAAGUAGGUCCCAAGGGUAUGGCUGUUCGCCAUUUAAAGUGGUACGCGAGCUGGGUUUAGAACGUCGUGAGACAGUUCGGUCCCUA
This 1372-nucleotide ribosomal RNA is filed under the name Salmonella enterica. RNAcentral's name for it is "partial 23S ribosomal RNA". It matches the Rfam family "Bacterial large subunit ribosomal RNA", at positions 1285 to 2640 of the family's 2925-position model. The record is from RNAcentral. Lineage: Bacteria; Pseudomonadati; Pseudomonadota; Gammaproteobacteria; Enterobacterales; Enterobacteriaceae.